RNAcentral lists this ribosomal RNA (253 nucleotides) under uncultured bacterium. RNAcentral describes it as "partial 16S ribosomal RNA". It matches the Rfam family "Bacterial small subunit ribosomal RNA", at positions 524 to 776 of the family's 1533-position model. The record is from RNAcentral.
UACGAAGGGGACUAGCGUUGCUCGGAAUCACUGGGCGUAAAGGGUGCGUAGGCGGGUCUUUAAGUCAGGGGUGAAAUCCUGGAGCUCAACUCCAGAACUGCCUUUGAUACUGAGGAUCUUGAGUUCGGGAGAGGUGAGUGGAACUGCGAGUGUAGAGGUGAAAUUCGUAGAUAUUCGGAAGAACACCAGUGGCGAAGGCGACUUACUGGACACAUAUUGACGCUGAGGUGCGAAAGCGUGGGGAGCAAACAGG